UGCCCAGCAAUCCCUACCUCCUCGCGGUACUGGCUGGGGUACGAGUAACCUUAGGGAAGAUCGGGUAACCAACCCCCGGUGGGAACUUUGGUCGUAUGCUGACAGGGAAGG
This 111-nucleotide ribozyme is filed under the name Aedes aegypti (yellow fever mosquito). RNAcentral describes it as "drz-agam-1 ribozyme". It matches the Rfam family "drz-agam-1 ribozyme". The record is from Rfam by way of RNAcentral. Lineage: Eukaryota; Metazoa; Arthropoda; Insecta; Diptera; Culicidae.